AAGUAGUGAAGUAAUAAUUACGUUUAGUUUCGACCUAAAAUUAGGGUAAUUACCCCUUACUUA
RNAcentral lists this transfer RNA (63 nucleotides) under Rhynocoris marginatus. RNAcentral's name for it is "tRNA-Arg". The record is from RNAcentral. Lineage: Eukaryota; Metazoa; Arthropoda; Insecta; Hemiptera; Reduviidae.